CUAAUACAUAGGGCAGGAGAAUAGGAAAAGAAAAGAAGAGGAAAAGAAGGCUUUUCCCCAGGGUCCUCUCCAGGCCAGGUGCUGUGUACCUCUGCGGCAGCGGCAGCAAGGCUCCUUGUCACUGUAUCAGUGUGCAAUUAGAGAAACAAAAGUGGUCUCAACUGGGUCUGGAAUGGACAUUGGCUGGCCCCUUUGGAGAAAGUAAUUAUUUCCCAAGGCCACACAAGAUGGUGGGUGCACGAGUGGAAGGCCCGGAGGAAGCCUUGUCCCCUGCAGCUCUGGAUGGGAGAACGAUCGAGCUGCCCAGGGGCAGGUUUCCACCCAGCAUAAGGAUCCAAUUGGAUCCACACUGAAUUCAUCAUCUCAUGUCCUCGGUUAGACCCAGCCUGUAAGAGCUCCUCUGUCUUCCCUUGUCUUUCAUGACCUCGACACUGUUGAAGAAGAGCACUGGCCAGACACUUUGGAGAAUUCUUUCUCAUGAUUUGAUUGAGGGUAUGCAUUACUGGGGAAGGCACCACCUCAGUGAUGCACCUUCUCGGUGCAUUAGGUCAGGGGCGUAUGACAUCCACAUGUAUUCCUGGAGAUGUGCACCUUGAUCA
Microcebus murinus (gray mouse lemur) is the source of this 599-nucleotide non-coding RNA. The record is from RefSeq and is a predicted model, not a curated record. NCBI's taxonomy places the organism in Eukaryota, Metazoa, Chordata, Mammalia, Primates, Cheirogaleidae.